AACGUAGGGGGCUAGCGUUGUCCGGAAUUACUGGGCGUAAAGGGCACGCAGGCGGUCUGUAAAGCGGUGGGUGCAAUCUCGAGGCUCAACCUCGAAACUGCUUGCCGAACUGGCAGACUAGAGCACGGGAGAGGACAGUGUAAUUCCCGGUGUAGCGGUGGAAUGCGUAAAUAUCGGGAGGAACACCAGUGGCGAAGGCUGCUGUCUGGAACGUUGCUGACGCUGAGGUGCGAAAGCUAGGGGAGCGAACGGGAUUAGAUACCCUGGUAGU
Molecule: ribosomal RNA, 271 nt
Filed under: uncultured prokaryote
Description: partial 16S ribosomal RNA
Rfam family: Bacterial small subunit ribosomal RNA
Source: RNAcentral